Molecule: non-coding RNA, 46 nt
Filed under: Schistosoma curassoni
Lineage: Eukaryota; Metazoa; Platyhelminthes; Trematoda; Strigeidida; Schistosomatidae
Source: RNAcentral
GCACUGCUGAGGAGUCCCACAAUAGGACGAAACGUUCGUCCAGUGC